Long non-coding RNA from Neodiprion virginianus, 943 nucleotides. RefSeq lists it as uncharacterized. The transcript has 4 exons. The record is from RefSeq and is a predicted model, not a curated record. NCBI's taxonomy places the organism in Eukaryota, Metazoa, Arthropoda, Insecta, Hymenoptera, Diprionidae.
GUUAUUGUUAAUUCCCCAACAUAGGAAAAAAAGUUGAAAAAUCGAUGAACAGAUUUUUUUACAAAGGUCACCAAGAAAUUACGUAGUUGAGCAUAUAAGUGCAUCCCUUCGCGGCGUCUUUAUUAAUUGUAAAACAUACGUUUUCCUAUACCAUAAUGUAUAUAUUGGAAUAACCCAUGCUAGGAAAGCGAGUGGCCGUAGAUGAAGCUCGUGUACCAUGGAUGUUACAUAUACGUAUAAUGAGCGCAUGUGUCAAACGACAAGCGGUCGCGAAGAAUCGAGAAUGUCCUAGCGUGAAAUACUCGCGCCUCUUCUUCUGCCUCUGAUUGGCUCGCUGGGUCAGCGUGUUGUAACUCGUGCGGUUCCUGCACGCUGAGAGCCGAGGACGACGUGCCAGAAUGCCCCCCCACCACCGUUCGCGAAGGCUCUCAGCUCACGCGAUCAGUGAAUCAGUCUAAUUUGACCAACUUCCGAGGUCAGUGCACGUCCGUGUUUAUGUGAGCCUUCAUAAGCUGGGGCGCACAAAUAUAAGUGGAUGUAAUACGAGACUGACUGGUGCAUUUUAACGUAAAAAUUUAGUUUGGUGUAUGGCAGUAAAACGAUGUAUGCCAUUGUUGAAUUCGUGGUUGGCGAGAAGCGAGAAUGUGCAUUAGUGCCAGUUUUGUGGCUGGUGGAUAAUAAUACCAUCUGCUACUGGCCACGCACGAAGAAUGAGGAGCAUUUCCUAAAAUUAGUCAAAUCAAAGGCAAUAUAUCAGAAAACAUGGCCCGAGUAUCCUGUUCACAACGUUCUGCAUACUGGAGAAAGCUUCGACGCACUACAAAAGACGAUGACGCACAUCAUAGAACACGGUACAUCCGAGGAAGAUGGCACAGUUUACACCAUUAGUAAGAAAUCCACAGGGCAUUGUUAUGAAAGAGAGUCGCAGAGCAAUGAUGAACAU